RNAcentral lists this ribosomal RNA (1528 nucleotides) under Neisseria meningitidis NM3223. RNAcentral's name for it is "bacterial SSU rRNA". It matches the Rfam family "Bacterial small subunit ribosomal RNA". The record is from RNAcentral. Lineage: Bacteria; Pseudomonadati; Pseudomonadota; Betaproteobacteria; Neisseriales; Neisseriaceae.
AGAGUUUGAUCCUGGCUCAGAUUGAACGCUGGCGGCAUGCUUUACACAUGCAAGUCGGACGGCAGCACAGAGAAGCUUGCUUCUCGGGUGGCGAGUGGCGAACGGGUGAGUAACAUAUCGGAACGUACCGAGUAGUGGGGGAUAACUGAUCGAAAGAUCAGCUAAUACCGCAUACGUCUUGAGAGAGAAAGCAGGGGACCUUUGGGCCUUGCGCUAUUCGAGCGGCCGAUAUCUGAUUAGCUAGUUGGUGGGGUAAAGGCCUACCAAGGCGACGAUCAGUAGCGGGUCUGAGAGGAUGAUCCGCCACACUGGGACUGAGACACGGCCCAGACUCCUACGGGAGGCAGCAGUGGGGAAUUUUGGACAAUGGGCGCAAGCCUGAUCCAGCCAUGCCGCGUGUCUGAAGAAGGCCUUCGGGUUGUAAAGGACUUUUGUCAGGGAAGAAAAGGCUGUUGCUAAUACCAGCGGCUGAUGACGGUACCUGAAGAAUAAGCACCGGCUAACUACGUGCCAGCAGCCGCGGUAAUACGUAGGGUGCGAGCGUUAAUCGGAAUUACUGGGCGUAAAGCGGGCGCAGACGGUUACUUAAGCAGGAUGUGAAAUCCCCGGGCUCAACCCGGGAACUGCGUUCUGAACUGGGUGACUCGAGUGUGUCAGAGGGAGGUAGAAUUCCACGUGUAGCAGUGAAAUGCGUAGAGAUGUGGAGGAAUACCGAUGGCGAAGGCAGCCUCCUGGGACAACACUGACGUUCAUGCCCGAAAGCGUGGGUAGCAAACAGGAUUAGAUACCCUGGUAGUCCACGCCCUAACGAUGUCAAUUAGCUGUUGGGCAACUUGAUUGCUUAGUAGCGUAGCUAACGCGUGAAAUUGACCGCCUGGGGAGUACGGUCGCAAGAUUAAAACUCAAAGGAAUUGACGGGGACCCGCACAAGCGGUGGAUGAUGUGGAUUAAUUCGAUGCAACGCGAAGAACCUUACCUGGUCUUGACAUGUACGGAAUCCUCCAGAGACGGAGGAGUGCCUUCGGGAGCCGUAACACAGGUGCUGCAUGGCUGUCGUCAGCUCGUGUCGUGAGAUGUUGGGUUAAGUCCCGCAACGAGCGCAACCCUUGUCAUUAGUUGCCAUCAUUCAGUUGGGCACUCUAAUGAGACUGCCGGUGACAAGCCGGAGGAAGGUGGGGAUGACGUCAAGUCCUCAUGGCCCUUAUGACCAGGGCUUCACACGUCAUACAAUGGUCGGUACAGAGGGUAGCCAAGCCGCGAGGCGGAGCCAAUCUCACAAAACCGAUCGUAGUCCGGAUUGCACUCUGCAACUCGAGUGCAUGAAGUCGGAAUCGCUAGUAAUCGCAGGUCAGCAUACUGCGGUGAAUACGUUCCCGGGUCUUGUACACACCGCCCGUCACACCAUGGGAGUGGGGGAUACCAGAAGUAGGUAGGGUAACCGCAAGGGGUCCGCUUACCACGGUAUGCUUCAUGACUGGGGUGAAGUCGUAACAAGGUAGCCGUAGGGGAACCUGCGGCUGGAUCACCU